RNAcentral lists this ribosomal RNA (207 nucleotides) under uncultured bacterium. Its description in RNAcentral is "partial 16S ribosomal RNA". It matches the Rfam family "Bacterial small subunit ribosomal RNA", at positions 568 to 774 of the family's 1533-position model. The record is from RNAcentral.
AGCGCAGGCGGACCGGCAAGUUGGAAGUGAAAACUAUGGGCUCAACCCAUAAAUUGCUUUCAAAACUGCUGGCCUUGAGUAGUGCAGAGGUAGGUGGAAUUCCCGGUGUAUCGGUGGAAUGCGUAGAUAUCGGGAGGAACACCAGUGGCGAAGGCGACCUACUGGGCACCAACUGACGCUGAGGCUCGAAAGCAUGGGUAGCAAACA